Molecule: ribosomal RNA, 523 nt
Filed under: uncultured bacterium
Lineage: Bacteria
Description: partial 16S ribosomal RNA
Rfam family: Bacterial small subunit ribosomal RNA
Source: RNAcentral
GACGAACGCUGGCGGCGUGCCUAAUACAUGCAAGUCGAACGCUUCCUUUUCCACCGGAGCUUGCUCCACGGAAAAAGAGGAGUGGCGAACGGGUGAGUAACACGUGGGUAACCUGCCCAUCAGAAGGGGAUAACACUUGGAAACAGGUGCUAAUACCGUAUAGCAAUCGAAACCGCAUGGUUUUGAUUUGAAAGGCGCUUUCGGGUGUCACUGAUGGAUGGACCCGCGGUGCAUUAGCUAGUUGGUGAGGUAACGGCUCACCAAGGCCACGAUGCAUAGCCGACCUGAGAGGGUGAUCGGCCACAUUGGGACUGAGACACGGCCCAAACUCCUACGGGAGGCAGCAGUAGGGAAUCUUCGGCAAUGGACGAAAGUCUGACCGAGCAACGCCGCGUGAGUGAAGAAGGUUUUCGGAUCGUAAAACUCUGUUGUUAGAGAAGAACAAGGAUGAGAGUAACUGUUCAUCCCUUGACGGUAUCUAACCAGAAAGCCACGGCUAACUACGUGCCAGCCGCCGCGGUAA